Molecule: transfer RNA, 71 nt
Organism: Camelus ferus (Wild Bactrian camel)
Lineage: Eukaryota; Metazoa; Chordata; Mammalia; Artiodactyla; Camelidae
Rfam family: tRNA
About the family: Transfer RNA (tRNA) molecules are approximately 80 nucleotides in length.
Source: Rfam
GAGGGUAGAGCUCAUGGUAGAGUGUUUGCUUAGCAUGCACAAGGUCCUGGGUUCAAUCCCCAGUACCUCCA